RNAcentral lists this non-coding RNA (194 nucleotides) under Desulfotomaculum sp. Its description in RNAcentral is "Lysine sequence". It matches the Rfam family "Lysine riboswitch aptamer". Rfam says of the family: Riboswitches are metabolite binding domains within certain messenger RNAs that serve as precision sensors for their corresponding targets. Allosteric rearrangement of mRNA structure is mediated by ligand binding, and this results in modulation of gene expression. The record is from RNAcentral. Lineage: Bacteria; Bacillati; Bacillota; Clostridia; Eubacteriales; Desulfotomaculaceae.
GGGUGAGGUAGAGGAGCGGGCUGCAAGAGUAUGUUUGCCUAUUUUAUCCGGCGACGUAUUUGAGGCAAAGAGAAAGGGCAUCCCGCCGAAGUCCGGGAACUGCCGGGGUUUUUGGGCUGGGCCGGCGUCGAAGAGGCGCCGGACUGUCACCGUGGCAAUCAAACCUCAUUGCCCGGUGGAGCGCUAUCUCAGGU